RNAcentral lists this transfer RNA (71 nucleotides) under Feihyla shyamrupus. RNAcentral describes it as "Rohanixalus shyamrupus tRNA-Val". Lineage: Eukaryota; Metazoa; Chordata; Amphibia; Anura; Rhacophoridae. The record is from RNAcentral.
CAAAAUGUAGCUUAACUUAAAGCCUUCCGCUUACACCGAAAAACUAUCUGUGAAACUCAGAUCAUUUUGAG